Molecule: ribosomal RNA, 253 nt
Filed under: uncultured bacterium
Lineage: Bacteria
Description: partial 16S ribosomal RNA
Rfam family: Bacterial small subunit ribosomal RNA
Source: RNAcentral
UACGAAGGGGGCUAGCGUUGCUCGGAAUCACUGGGCGUAAAGGGUGCGUAGGCGGGUCUUUAAGUCCGGGGUGAAAUCCUGGAGCUCAACUCCAGAACUGCCUUUGAUACUGAAGAUCUUGAGUUCGGGAGAGGUGAGUGGAACUGCGAGUGUAGAGGUGAAAUUCGUAGAUAUUCGCAAGAACACCCGUGGCGAAGGCGGUUCUCUGGGACGGUACUGACGCUGAGACGCGAAAGCGUGGGGAGCGAACAGG